RNAcentral lists this ribosomal RNA (270 nucleotides) under uncultured archaeon. RNAcentral's name for it is "partial 16S ribosomal RNA". It matches the Rfam family "Archaeal small subunit ribosomal RNA", at positions 477 to 747 of the family's 1478-position model. The record is from RNAcentral.
CAGCACCCCGAGUGGCCGGGACGAUUAUUGGGCCUAAAGCAUCCGUAGCCGGUUCUACAAGUCUUCCGUUAAAUCCACCUGCUUGACAGAUGGGCCGCGGAGGAUACUAUAAGACUAGGAGGCAGGAGAGGCAAGCGGUACUCAGUGGGUAGGGGUAAAAUCCGUUGAUCCAUUGAAGACCACCAGUGGCGAAGGCGGCUUGCCAGAAUGCGCUCGACGGUGAGGGAUGAAAGCUGGGGGAGCAAACCGGAUUAGAUACCCGAGUAGUCC